AGCUUUGCGCAGUGGCAGUAUUGUAGCCAAUGAGGUUUAUCCGAGGCGCGAUUAUUGCUAAUUAAAAAUAUCCUUCUAUAUUUUC
RNAcentral lists this small nuclear RNA (85 nucleotides) under Neogale vison (American mink). RNAcentral describes it as "Neovison vison (American mink) U4 spliceosomal RNA (ENSNVIG00000019416.1)". It matches the Rfam family "U4 spliceosomal RNA", at positions 1 to 85 of the family's 138-position model. From Rfam's summary of the family: U4 small nuclear RNA (U4 snRNA) is a component of the major U2-dependent spliceosome. The structure of U4 snRNA from yeast and human has been reported. The record is from RNAcentral. Lineage: Eukaryota; Metazoa; Chordata; Mammalia; Carnivora; Mustelidae.